RNAcentral lists this ribosomal RNA (301 nucleotides) under uncultured bacterium. RNAcentral's name for it is "partial 16S ribosomal RNA". It matches the Rfam family "Bacterial small subunit ribosomal RNA", at positions 509 to 807 of the family's 1533-position model. The record is from RNAcentral.
CAGCAGCCGCGGUAAUACGAGGGGGGCAAGCGUUGUUCGGAUUUAUUGGGCGUAAAGGGUGCGUAGGCGGUUUGGCGAGUCUUGUGUGAAAUCUUCGGGCUCAACCCGAAGCCUGCACGAGAAACUACCGGGCUUGAGUAUUGGAGAGGUGAGUGGAAUUUCCGGUGUAGCGGUGAAAUGCGUAGAUAUCGGAAGGAACACCUGUGGCGAAAGCGGCUCACUGGACAAUAACUGACGCUGAUGCACGAAAGCUAGGGGAGCAAACAGGAUUAGAUACCCGUGUAGUCCCUGUCUCUUAUAC